UCAGCCAUCAACAUCCAUGGACAACAAUCGCCAGAUCUGUCACUGGAAGAAGGGAAGAACGACAAACUAUAACUGAAAAAAAGAAGACCGAAACAGAUCUGAAGGAAAGAAAGAAAUAAAAUCAACUGCCUUUUGUGCGUUUUUCUCCUCUUUGCAGGUGGCGGCGAUUCUCACCGCUGGAAGGGAAUGGAGGAAGAGAAGAAGCCGAGACAGACCCACAUGGUUUCUGGUAUUUUUUCGGCGGCGCGUGAACCCACGCGCCGCCAGUGGCGCGUGGGGAGACGCGCCGCCACUGUCCAGCUGCCCAGAAGAUGCUCCCAGCACUGUUCCAGCGGGUUGCAGGAGUCCUUCCCUGCAAUUUCUAGAAUUUUAGGGACAUGUUUUUGUAAAUUUUAAAUUAUGUAAUGUAAUUUUUAUUUAUUUAUUUUGAAUUU
Molecule: long non-coding RNA, 434 nt
Filed under: Populus tremula
Lineage: Eukaryota; Viridiplantae; Streptophyta; Magnoliopsida; Malpighiales; Salicaceae
Description: long non-coding RNA (PTRE_LNC001718)
Source: RNAcentral